This 564-nucleotide long non-coding RNA is filed under the name Pan troglodytes (chimpanzee). Its description in RNAcentral is "long non-coding RNA NONPTRT005440". Lineage: Eukaryota; Metazoa; Chordata; Mammalia; Primates; Hominidae. The record is from RNAcentral.
UCUCCCCCGCACACAGUAAGUGCAUACUAACCAUCAUCAGCACACAAUAAGCACAUACUAACCAUCAUCCCCACACACAGUAAGUGCAUACUAACCAUCCCCGCACACAGUAAGCACAUACUAACCAUCCCCGCACACAGUAAACACAUACUAACCAUCAUCUGCACAAACUAAACACAUACUAACCAUCAUCUGCACACAGUAAGCACAUACUAACCAUCAUCUGCACACAGUAAGCACAUACUAACCAUCAUUCCCGCACACAGUAAGCACAUACUAACCAUCACCUGCACACAGUAAGCACAUACUAACCAUCACCUGCACACAGUAAGCACAUACUAACCAUCACCUGCACACAGUAAGCACAUACUAACCAUCCCUGCACACAGUAAGCACAUACUAACCAUCAUCUGCACACAGUAAGCACAUACUAACCAUCAUCCCCACACACAGUAAGCACAUACCAUCAUCCCUGCACACAGUAAGUGCAUACUAACUGUGAUCUCUGCACACAGUAAGCACAUACUAACCAUCAUCUCUGCACACAGUAAGCACAUACUAACC